GUUGACCUCGGAUCGGGUAGGGAUACCCGCU
Molecule: ribosomal RNA, 31 nt
Filed under: Zygophiala sp. T136A1b
Lineage: Eukaryota; Fungi; Ascomycota; Dothideomycetes; Mycosphaerellales; Schizothyriaceae
Description: partial 28S ribosomal RNA
Source: RNAcentral